AGUGAACGCUGGCGGCAGGCCUAACACAUGCAAGUCGAGCGGCAGCGCGUCCGACCACCCUCGGGUGGUCGGAUGGCGGCGAGCGGCGGACGGGUGAGGAAUGCAUCGGAAUCUGCCUCGUUGUGGGGGAUAACGUAGGGAAACUUACGCUAAUACCGCAUACGACCUACGGGUGAAAGUGGGGGACCUUCGGGCCUCACGCGAUGAGAUGAGCCGAUGCCGGAUUAGCUAGUUGGCGGGGUAAAGGCCCACCAAGGCGACGAUCCGUAGCUGGUCUGAGAGGAUGAUCAGCCACACUGGAACUGAGACACGGUCCAGACUCCUACGGGAGGCAGCAGUGGGGAAUUUUGGACAAUGGGCGCAAGCCUGAUCCAGCAAUGCCGCGUGCAGGAUGAAGGCCUUCGGUUGUAAACUAGCUUUUGUUACGGAACGAAACGGACUCUUUCUAAUUAAAGGGAAGCGUAAUGACGGUACCGUAAGAAUAAGACACCGGCUAACUACGU
Molecule: ribosomal RNA, 503 nt
Filed under: uncultured bacterium
Lineage: Bacteria
Description: bacterial SSU rRNA
Rfam family: Bacterial small subunit ribosomal RNA
Source: RNAcentral